GCGUUUGCAUAGUGGGAGUAUCAUAGCCAGCGUGGUUUAUUCAAAGGCAUGAUUAUUGCUAAUUGAAAACUUUUUUCAAUACCCGGCCACAACAACUUGAAAUAUAGUCGGCAUUGGCCAUUUUUGAUAGUAUUUAAGGCAGUUGCUUCCCUGUCUCAAUA
Sphaerodactylus townsendi is the source of this 161-nucleotide small nuclear RNA. RefSeq annotates it as U4 spliceosomal RNA. The transcript has a single exon. Lineage: Eukaryota; Metazoa; Chordata; Lepidosauria; Squamata; Sphaerodactylidae. The record is from RefSeq and is a predicted model, not a curated record.